This 216-nucleotide ribosomal RNA is filed under the name Triticum aestivum (bread wheat). RNAcentral's name for it is "partial small subunit ribosomal RNA". It matches the Rfam family "Eukaryotic large subunit ribosomal RNA", at positions 1883 to 2095 of the family's 3401-position model. Lineage: Eukaryota; Viridiplantae; Streptophyta; Magnoliopsida; Poales; Poaceae. The record is from RNAcentral.
CUAGCCAAAGGAACAAUGUAGGCAAGGGAAGUCGACAAAACGGAUCCGUAACUUCGGGAAAAGGAUUGGCUUUGAGGACUGGGCUCGGGGGUCCCGGCCCCAAACCCGUCGGCUGUCGGCGGAUUGCUCGAGCUGCUCACGCGGCGAGAGCGUGUCGCCGCGUGCCUGCCGGGGGAUGGACCGAGAAUCGCCCCUUCGGGGGCUUUGCCCGAGCAU